Molecule: long non-coding RNA, 266 nt
Filed under: Mytilus galloprovincialis (Mediterranean mussel)
Lineage: Eukaryota; Metazoa; Mollusca; Bivalvia; Mytilida; Mytilidae
Source: RNAcentral
AAAUUGUAGUAUGCAAAGAUUAUAUCACCAGAAAAAAGGACAUUGGUAAUACACACAUUGAAUCAAUAGAAAACUAUGCAUUGUAUCUUGAAGCCAAACUUGAAGGAAAAGGCAUAUAUGAUGUCACAUUCAAAUGUCGAAACGAUUUCUUAUUACAAGGACCAAACCAAGCACGAUGUCUUCCGAAUGGAAGCUGGAGUCGAGUAAUUCCUAGAUGUGUGGAACAAUGUAUUAACUUGGUCAACAUUAUUGAGAACAUCCAGGUG